RNAcentral lists this ribosomal RNA (274 nucleotides) under uncultured bacterium. RNAcentral's name for it is "partial 16S ribosomal RNA". It matches the Rfam family "Bacterial small subunit ribosomal RNA", at positions 523 to 796 of the family's 1533-position model. The record is from RNAcentral.
AUACGGAGGGUGCGAGCGUUAAUCGGAAUUACUGGGCGUAAAGCACGCGUAGGCGGCUUGGCCAGUCGGAUGUGACAGCCCCGGGCUUAACCUGGGAAUUGCACUCGAAACUGCCGAGCUAGAGUAUGGGAGAGGGAAGUGGAAUUUCCGGUGUAGCGGUGAAAUGCGUAGAUAUCGGAAGGAACACCAGUGGCGAAGGCGGCUUCCUGGACCAAUACUGACGCUGAGGUGCGAAAGCGUGGGGAGCAAACAGGAUUAGAUACCCCAGUAGUCC